RNAcentral lists this ribosomal RNA (497 nucleotides) under uncultured bacterium. Its description in RNAcentral is "partial 16S ribosomal RNA". It matches the Rfam family "Bacterial small subunit ribosomal RNA", at positions 28 to 507 of the family's 1533-position model. The record is from RNAcentral.
GAUGAACGCUGGCGGCGUGCCUAAUACAUGCAAGUCGAGCGAACGGACGAGAAGCUUGCUUCUCUGAUGUUAGCGGCGGACGGGUGAGUAACACGUGGAUAACCUACCUAUAAGACUGGGAUAACUUCGGGAAACCGGAGCUAAUACCGGAUAAUAUUUUGAACCGCAUGGUUCAAAAGUAAAAGACGGUCUUGCUGUCACUUAUAGAUGGAUCCGAGCUGCAUUAGCUAGUUGGUAAGGUAACGGCUUACCAAGGCAACGAUGCAUAGCCGAACUGAGAGGGUGAUCGGCCACACUGGAACUGAGACACGGUCCAGACUCCUACGGGAGGCAGCAGUAGGGAAUCUUCCGCAAUGGGCGAAAGCCUGACGGAGCAACGCCGCGUGAGUGAUGAAGGUCUUCGGAUCGUAAAACUCUGUUAUUAGGGAAGAACAUAUGUGUAAGUAACUGUGCACAUCGUGACGGUACCUAAUCAGAAAGCCACGGCUAACUACGUG